RNAcentral lists this ribosomal RNA (912 nucleotides) under uncultured archaeon. RNAcentral's name for it is "bacterial SSU rRNA". It matches the Rfam family "Archaeal small subunit ribosomal RNA", at positions 1 to 922 of the family's 1478-position model. The record is from RNAcentral.
UUCCGGUUGAUCCCGCCGGACGUGAUUGCUAUCGGAUUGGUACUAAGCAUGCGAGUAAGUGUAGCAAUACACUGCAGACGGCUCAGUAACACGUGGUCAAGCUAACCUAUGGACGUGGAUAACCUCGGGAAACUGAGAAUAAACCGCGAUAGAUCAUGAUGCCUGGAAUGGCUCAUGGUCGAAAUAGUUUACUGCCGUAGGAUGCGACUGCGGCCUAUCAGUUUGUUGGUGAGGUAAUGGCCCACCAAGACUAUUACAGGUACGGGCUCUGAGAGGAGAAGCCCGGAGAUGGGUACUGAGACACGGACCCAGGCCCUAUGGGGCGCAGCAGGCGAGAAACCUUAGCAAUGUGCGAAAGCACGACUGGGUUAGUCCGAGUGAUUCCUGCUAAAGGAAUCUUUUGCCGGUCCUAAAAGCACCGGUGAAUAAGGGGUGGGCAAGUCUGGUGUCAGCCGCCGCGGUAAUACCAGCACCUCGAGUGAUCAGGACGUUUAUUGGGCCUAAAGCAUCCGUAGCUGGCUUUGCAAGUCUCCGGUUAAAUCAACCUGCUCAACAGAUUGGCCGCUGGAGAUAUUACAAGGCUAGGGAGUGGGAGAGGCAGACGGUAUUCGGGGGGUAGGGGUAAAAUCCCCUGAUCCUCUGAGGACCACCAGUGGCGAAGGCGGUCUGCCAGAACACGUUCGACAGUGAGGGAUGAAAGCUGGGGGAGCAAACCGGAUUAGAUACCCGGGUAGUCCCAGCUGUAAACGAUGCAAACUCGGUGAAGCAUUGGCUUAAUGCUAAUGCUGUGCCGCAGGGAAGCCGUUAAGUUUGCCGCCUGGGAAGUACGGUCGCAAGAUUGAAACUUAAAGGAAUUGGCGGGGGAGCACCACAAGGGGUGAAGCCUGCGGUUCAAUUGGAUUCAACGCCGGG